This 209-nucleotide long non-coding RNA is filed under the name Mytilus galloprovincialis (Mediterranean mussel). The record is from RNAcentral. Lineage: Eukaryota; Metazoa; Mollusca; Bivalvia; Mytilida; Mytilidae.
GUGGUAUGUUAAAAAUAUCAGUCAAUAUGACCCAAAGAACUUGUUUAUAAUUCAGUCAAUUUCUUUGGAAUAGAUGCAGAAAAGGUGGACACCUCAAUAUCAGUUUAAAUAUUGCAUCCUCCUAUGAGCGUCAAACGAAAUCCAACUUUCAGUAAUGGAUCUUAAUCUUAAGGCACAGCCUUGAUGCAAUCCUGUUUGUGAUCAAUUCA